This 552-nucleotide ribosomal RNA is filed under the name Agrobacterium sp. RNAcentral describes it as "partial 16S ribosomal RNA". It matches the Rfam family "Bacterial small subunit ribosomal RNA", at positions 64 to 694 of the family's 1533-position model. The record is from RNAcentral. Lineage: Bacteria; Pseudomonadati; Pseudomonadota; Alphaproteobacteria; Hyphomicrobiales; Rhizobiaceae.
GAGCGCCCCGCAAGGGGAGCGGCAGACGGGUGAGUAACACGUGGGAAUCUACCCAUCCCUGCGGAACAACUCCGGGAAACUGGAGCUAAUACCGCAUACGCCCUACGGGGGAAAGAUUUAUCGGGGAUGGAUGAGCCCGCGUUGGAUUAGCUAGUUGGUGGGGUAAAGGCCUACCAAGGCGACGAUCCAUAGCUGGUCUGAGAGGAUGUCGCACAUGGGGUGAGAGGGCCGAAAKCCCUGCGGWAGRAGGGAGGAUAUUGGACGUGGCGCAAGAUGAUCCGGCAUGCGGCGGAUKAGGAGGGCUAGGGGUUGUAAGCCCUUUAACSAUGAGGAWAUGKGGUAGUCGGAAAAGAAGCCCCGGCAACUCGAGCCAGCRGCCGCGGUAUARAAGGGGGAAGGCGURGUUCGGAAAUCKGGGKGRAAAGCCCACGUAGSARGAAUUUAAAGUGGGGGGGGAAUCCGGCGCURGCUGCGGAACUACCUURAAAACCCGGAAAUCUGGAGUUUGGAAGAGGUUAGUGGAAUGGCAAGUGAGGAGGUAAAAAUCGUAGA